Molecule: ribosomal RNA, 482 nt
Filed under: uncultured bacterium
Lineage: Bacteria
Description: partial 16S ribosomal RNA
Rfam family: Bacterial small subunit ribosomal RNA
Source: RNAcentral
UUGAACGCUGGCGGCAUGCUUUACACAUGCAAGUCGAACGGCAGCGCGGGCUUCGGCCUGGCGGCGAGUGGCGAACGGGUGAGUAAUGCAUCGGAACGUGCCCAGUAGUGGGGAUAGCCCGGCGAAAGCCGGAUUAAUACCGCAUACGACCUGAGGGUGAAAGCGGGGGACCGAAAGGCCUCGCGCUAUUGGAGCGGCCGAUGUCGGAUUAGCUAGUUGGUGGGGUAAAGGCUUACCAAGGCGACGAUCCGUAGCUGGUCUGAGAGGACGACCAGCCACACUGGGACUGAGACACGGCCCAGACUCCUACGAGAGGCAGCAGUGGGGAAUUUUGGACAAUGGGGGCAACCCUGAUCCAGCCAUGCCGCGUGCGGGAAGAAGGCCUUCGGGUUGUAAACCGCUUUUGUUCGGGAAGAAAUCCUCUGGGCUAAUACCCCGGGGGGAUGACGGUACCGGAAGAAUAAGCACCGGCUAACUACGUG